This is a long non-coding RNA of Parus major (Great Tit), 1610 nucleotides long. The record is from Ensembl. Lineage: Eukaryota; Metazoa; Chordata; Aves; Passeriformes; Paridae.
CGGUGCGGGUGUCCGGACACCGCGGGAAUUUGACGCGCUUCCCCGUAGGGCUCGGCGCCGUCGGGGCCGGUUGCGCUGGCGGCCGCGGGCCGAGGUGGCAGCGAUGAGCGGCCGCCGCUGUCGGAGGGGAUGCUGCCGGUACGAGCGGGACAGUCGGCCCCGGGCAACGUUGCCCAGGGAGCCCCACGCUUCUUUGAGGAAAUCAAGCUGUCGAAACAAAUUAGGCUGGAAAAAACCACCCGGUGACAGAUCUGCGUGGGGAGAGGCAGCACGGAGCAAUCUGGUCAGGAUCACUUGGGAUGGCACAGUGGAUGAGGGACACCAGAUACCAAGUUUUUCAUUGAGUCUCCUGCAGCCCCUAUUGGGGUACCUCUUGGUAAGUUGGUUUUUGGGCAGGUCUUGUAUAUACUCUCCAGGAUACAGGUAUUGCUACAGGGGGACAGUCUUACCUCAGCACUUUCAGCAUCAUUUUUCCUUGGUUUGGAUUUCAUGAAGUAUCGGAAAGAGGCAGGACAGAAGUGUGUUCUGGGCCCUGGUUGCCAUCCUCUUGUUGUCAGGGCAUACAGUGUCUUGUUUGUAAGUCACCACCUGAUCUCAGCACAGACCUCCUGGGCAUGGCACAAGAAACUAUGUUCCGUCAAAACAAAUUCUCCACUUCAACUUUAGGCCUGCUACAAGAGUCCUAUGAAAUGCAAUUAAAGGAGCUCAGAAAAAUUCAGAUUGGAAGGCAUCUUCAGAGGUCACUGUUCUAAUAAUCUGCUCCAAGCAUGGCUGACCACAAAGCUAGAUCGGGUUAUCUCCAGCAAUGGAGAUCCCACCAUCUCUCUGGUCUGCACUGUGCUUGUGUGAUGAUUUCAUCUCUGUUUUCUCUAAAAUUCUCUUGGAUUGAAUCUAAUUCAGGAUGCUACCUGAUCAGUGCCAUCAUGCAGUGCAGAGACACUUCCCUCCACUGGUUUUCAAGAACCCCCCAGGCCCUGACCAGCCACCAAGUUCACAGCUGACAUGCCUUGCUGUUCACCAGGAUUGCAGCCCUCCUGUCCAGGGCAAGGGCCCCAUUCACUGCUGGGCUUCUCACAGCCAUGGGCAGAACACAUACUUUGCUCAGACUGUGCUCCAGGAGGUUCAUGGCACUCCAUUUCUGCAGCCUGUUGAGGCCCUUCUGAAGAGCUGUGCUCCCCUCCCACUGCUCCCCCAGUGUGGAACAAUCUCAGCACCCUACAUCCCCUCUUCUGUGUUGUUGCAAAAGAUGUUAGAAAUAUUUGCCUGGCAUUAACCCUUGAGAAAUGGCACAUGUAGCUGUCUGCCAGCUACUCUUACUGAUGGACCUCUGUCCUUGAACCUGACAGCCCACCCAGUUUUCCAGUCAUUUAACAGUUCACCUGCAAAGUCCAUGAUUUCAUCUAUUUAGCUUCAACAAUAAUGAUAUAAAAACCUCCAAAAUAACUUUUGCCAGAAGAUUUCCCUUCCUAAAACACUGUCAUGUGCAGACAGAAACUUUGUUUUUUGUCAGUUUGAUCCUUUGGUGCUGGCCCAGCCUAGGGAUCAACACACUGGUUUUGUGCCUGCCAUCUGAACACCCUAUUAUUGUAAUAAACUACACCCACUCAUCA